AUACAUAUAUGUGAGUGAAACUAUUUACAUGGUGUAUGUGUAAGAAACAUUAAAACAGAAACAUUGUGGGUCUGUAUACAAGGGCAGUUAUAUAAUGUAAUAGAUAAAUAAGGGUGGAAGGGCUAUGGUCAUUUAGGGUGGAGAUGGUAGUUCUACUGGGACCAAAAUAUUGCACAUGAGCCAAAAGAAUUGCACAGAACAUGAAAAGACUGAGAUGUUGCACAUAGAUGAUCAACAGCAGUGUCAGAGUGGAUGUGUUGGGGAAGUCUUUACACACUCUUAGUUUGCAUUAAGAGUUCUGACAGCCCACGGGAAGAAGCUGUUCUUUAAUCUGUUGGUUUUGCACCUGAUGCAUCUGAACCUUUUUCCAGGGGCAGGAUGUUGAAGAGGUGGUGGUUAGGAUGGAGGUGGUCCUAUAUAAUUGCUCUGGCUCUGGAGAGACAUCUUGAGCUGGGAAUAAAGUCCAGGGAGGGGAGUGGACAGCCGAUCCCCUAAGUUUGCAAGUUUGACCACAUGUCUUUUAAACAUGCUUUACAAAUAAAGCUAACUUGACUUGGAUCAACUAAAGACCCUUCAUGGAGCUUUUACAACAACCUGACAGAACAGCAGAAGAAUCACAGGGCUCAAAACCCCCUCCACCAUCACUGCUGUGCCCAUUUACAGAGGGAGAACGCAGCCAACGAGGUAGAUCAGACAUCUGAAUGCCUCCUGGGUGAGGUGUUUCAGACCAACCACAUCCAACAAAGACCCUGGAGCACACUCAGGACACACUGGAGAGAUUAAAUCUUUCAGCUGGCUUGGGAAUGCCUUCAGGUGCUCCCAGAAGAGCUAGAUGAAGAAGCUGGAUAGAGGGAGGUCAGGGCAUCUGUGGGAUCUGCUACCUCCAUGACCUGGAUCCAGAUAAGAGCUCAGACACGGCCUACCAGGAGGACUUGCAGCUGACUCAGGAUCCGCUGGAGAGGUUUUCACUCUCGGCUGAGUUGGAAACACAGGGAUCAUAAGGGAAAGGGCACCAGUUGACACAGACUUUGGGACUUUUGGCACGGCU
Molecule: long non-coding RNA, 1048 nt
Organism: Maylandia zebra (zebra mbuna)
Lineage: Eukaryota; Metazoa; Chordata; Actinopteri; Cichliformes; Cichlidae
Source: RefSeq, a predicted model, not a curated record